GAUGAACGCUGGCGGCGUGCCUAACACAUGCAAGUCGAACGAGGUAUUUUGAUUGAAGUUUUCGGAUGGAUUUCAAGAUACCGAGUGGCGGACGGGUGAGUAACGCGUGGGUAACCUGCCUCAUACAGGGGGAUAACGGUUAGAAAUGACUGCUAAUACCGCAUAAGCGCACAGUACCGCAUGGUACGGUGUGAAAAACUCCGGUGGUAUGAGAUGGACCCGCGUCUGAUUAGCUAGUUGGUGGGGUAACGGCCCACCAAGGCGACGAUAAGUAGCCGACCUGAGAGGGUGAUCGGCCACAUUGGGACUGAGACACGGCCCAGACUCCUACGGGAGGCAGCAGUGGGGGAUAUUGCACAAUGGAGGAAACUCUGAUGCAGCGACGCCGCGUGAGUGAAGAAGUAUUUCGGUAUGUAAAGCUCUAUCAGCAGGGAAGAAAAUGACGGUACCUGACUAAGAAGCCCCGGCUAACUACGUGCCAGCAGCCGCCGUAA
Molecule: ribosomal RNA, 494 nt
Filed under: uncultured bacterium
Lineage: Bacteria
Description: partial 16S ribosomal RNA
Rfam family: Bacterial small subunit ribosomal RNA
Source: RNAcentral